Non-coding RNA from Salmo salar (Atlantic salmon), 3245 nucleotides. NCBI's taxonomy places the organism in Eukaryota, Metazoa, Chordata, Actinopteri, Salmoniformes, Salmonidae. The record is from RefSeq and is a predicted model, not a curated record.
AUCGGAAGUGGUUGAUUUAUGCUAAUGAAGGAGUCGGGGUUGUAGAUAUUUACGUUGGACGGCGGGAGCCGCCCUUCAUUCACCACAUGGUUAAAACCACGGUAUGUUCGCGCCACUUUCGCAAUUUUACUACGAUUCAGAAACUCAUGCCGAAUCAAAAUAGCAGCAAAUGCGGAUGCGAUGUUUGUUAGCUACUGUGCAAUUGACAAGUUUGUGGUUUACUUUCGUAGAUAUGCCUGGAGCAGUGACAGUAAAGGGCACCCAUUGGGAUGUACACUUGGAAUCCAGCGCCCUGUUCAAGUGAUUGACCCAGAAACAUUCCGUCGUUGGUUUUGGAUAUGUGCAUGGAUGCUUCACUGGCCUAAGUCACUGUAGUGUCAAAGUGCUUACAGUGCAGGUAGUCAUCUAAUAUCUACUGCAGUGAAGGCACUUUAAGCACUAUAGUGGCACGAUGACUGGCUUCAUUGCACACUGAUUGUGUGAACCUUAACUGGUGCUUAUGCUAAGGUGCAUCUAGUGCAGAUAGUGAAGUAGACCAGCACCUACUGCCCUACGUGCUCCUUCUGGCAUAAGGGCCGGGACUCGUCUGGUCUAUGAAAAGUGUAUGAUUUAUCCUUGCAGACCUCUGCUAGUUUUGCAUAGUUGCACUACAAGAGAAAUGGAGUUGUGCAAAUCUAUGCAAAACUGACGGUGGCCUGUGUGUCCAUCUGUCCGGGUGACUUUUUCAAAUGUAUAAUCAGUUGAGCAGCAUGGAGGGCUCUUGGGCAUCCUACACCCUUUUCCACCCACAGCAACGUUAAUGUGUGCAAACGGGUUUCAGCAGUAUUAAAGUGCUUAUAGUGCAGGUAGUUCUAUGGCCAUCUACUGCAGUGUGAGCACUUGAUGUACUUCUAAAUGCAUGCAUCGCCACAGGGUACAGCAGGCGCCGCCGAGGGAUGGAGCCACUGGUCUCUGGUUCGUUUUGCUGGUUUGCUUUCAGCUUUUCAAUGUACCGCUGUGCAAAUCCAUGCAAAACUGAUCAUAGCAGUGAUUCAUUUAAUCCUUCGUCAGAAUAACAAUCCCUUUCUGUGCAGGUUGGGAUAGGCAGCAAUGCUUUUUACUUGUAUGGUAUUGCACUUGUCCCGGCCUGUUGAGGACUUGGGGAAUUGUCCUGCUGCAGAAUACUUGGAGUUGAAAAUUAGACCGAUGACCACAAUACAUCCAUGUAUAUUUGAAUGUUUCCAAUAGAUUUUAAGUAAUGUCAUUAAUUUUGAGUGCAAUAAUUAUGAAUUAAGAAUUAUUAUUACAUCAGCUAACCGAUCGCUGCAGCUGUACAUUGCCCACCCAAUCUACCUACCUCAUCCCCAUACUGUUUUUAUUUACUUUUCUGCUCUUUUGCACACAAGUAUCUCUACAUGCACAUCUUCAUAUGCUCAUUUAUCACUCCAGUGUUAAUCUUCUGAAUUGUAAUUAUUUGCUCCUAUUGCCUACCUCAUGCCAUUUGCACACACUGUAUAUAGACUUUCUUUUUUUUCUACUGUAUCAUUGACUUGUUUAUUGUGUUAUUGGCUUGUUUAUUCCAUGUGUAACUCUGUUGUAUGUGUCACACUGCUUUGCUUUAUCUUGGCCAGGUCGCAGUUGUAAAUGAGAACUUGUUCUCAACUUGCCUACCUGGUUAAAUAAAGGUGAAAUUAUUAUUUUUUUACCUCAUCUCACUUCCACUUUUGAUAUAUAGUAUCUUUCGUUGUAGUCGCUGUCCUUCCAGCUGAAUAGUGAAUUGUUAUGUCAAAGAAAAAUGUGAGUAGCAUUCUGUGGGUUGAAAGCAAACAUGUAGUCAAGGUCUACCUCUGUUUAUAAAGCUAGUUGGAUAUCAGAGGGCACAUGUCAGGACACCUACUUCUCAAUACUGCAAUUGGACAUCCUUGGGCUUUUGAUUCAUAUGUAGUUUGGUGAAUUUUGCUAAUGAAAUGUUUAAUUUCAGGACACUGGGAUGCCUUUAAUAUCUGUGAAAUUUUAAAUGGGUGUUCUCCCAUAAUGUGAAUCUACUGUUAAAAUGAAUAUUGUUCUGCUGUGGUUCCUUAAUCUGACUCAUGAGCGAGUAAAAGGAAUGUAUGUGGAUGUAAGCCAUAAUGUUUAACCCCUGUAAAUGUCAAGGCUUUUGUAGGUUGUGCAAAUUCUUAAUAGUGCUAUGCUCAUGCUCUGAAUAUUAAAUCCGGCCUAUCUAAAUUGCAUGACCACCGUGGUGAGCUAAUGCUCUAGCUAUGGACCAUGGGUCUGUCAGUGUCCAUCCACAAAUGGCUACUGGGCUAUUCAUGGUGCCAGGUUGAUUGGCUUAAGCAUACAACAUAAAUCCUAUUAAGUACAUGUAGAGUGAGUUGAUUAUCCUGUUGACCAGCAGCACCCUCCUUGCCAGCAAGAUGAUCCAUCUGACCUAACGCAGACAAUUAUUUACAUUUAAGUCAUUUAGCAGACGCUCUUAUCCAGAGCGACUUACAAUAGCAUGUCGGAAAUUUCAGUUUCCUAGUUCUGAUUAGCCCAUGAACACUGUAGGCCUGUUUAUUUUUUAGUUAAUAGAUUUCGCUGCAGUUCACAGCAUUGUCAUGUUUAAAUUGUACAUGAGCCAGGGGUUGUGUUCAGUUGAACUCUUGAUAUUGACUCACUAUUGCGUAAGCUGUAGUGUUUAUGUCGAGGCAAAAUUGGCUCUGAAUGGGAUGCAAAUAGUUAAGGGUAGCAUACGCUGAGUGUACAGAACAUCUGCUCUUUCCAUGGGAUGCAGUGCCUUUAUAAAGUAUUUACACCCCGUUUUCCAUCACAGCCUGAAUUUAUAAUUGAUUAAAUUGAGGGAAAUGUCGCUGCAUACAAGUCUUAAUGUCAAAGUGGAUUUCCGUUUUGGGAAAUUUAACAUUGCAGAUGAUCUUGAAACAAAUAUUCAACCCCUUUAUGGCAAGAGUAAAUGUAUUAAAAUGUAUAAAGGCAAUGAUUUCAAUGAAGGGAUUAAAUUAAUAUCCCUUUGAGCAGGGCGAAGUCAAUUACACUUUGGAUGGUGUAUCAAUACACCCAGUCACUACAAAGAUACAGGUGUCCUUCCUAACUAGGUUGCUGGAGAGGAAGGAAACUACUCAGCCAUUUCACCAUGAGACCAAUGGUGACUUUAAAAUAGUUUAAAGGCUGUGGUAAACUGAGGAUGGAUCAACAUUGUAGUUACUCUACAACAUAACUGACGGCGUGAAAAGGAAGUCUGCACAAUAAAUAUACUCCAAAACAUG